RNAcentral lists this ribosomal RNA (464 nucleotides) under uncultured bacterium. RNAcentral's name for it is "SSU rRNA". It matches the Rfam family "Bacterial small subunit ribosomal RNA", at positions 26 to 518 of the family's 1533-position model. The record is from RNAcentral.
AGGAUUAACGCUGGCGGCGUGCCUAACACAUGCAAGUCGAACGAGGGGGGCAACCCCCGAGUGGCAGACGGGUGAGUAACGCGUGGUCAACCUACCCUAGAGUGGGGAAUAACUAGCCGAAAGGUUAGCUAAUACCGCAUGAUACGUUUUGGGACAUCCCAGGACGUUGAAAGGAGCAAUCCGCUCGAGGACGGGACCGCGUCCGAUUAGCUAGUUGGUGAGGUAACGGCCCACCAAGGCUCCGAUCGGUAGCUGGUUUGAGAGAGCGACCAGCCACACUGGGACUGAGAAACGGCCCAGACUCCUACGGGAGGCAGCAGUGAGGAAUUUCCGCAAUGGGCGAAAGCCUGACGGAGCGACGCCGCGUGUGGGAAGAAGGCCUUCGGGUCGUAAACCACUGUCGAAGGGGACUAUACUGAAGGUACCCUUGGAGGAAGCCCGGCUAACUACGCGCCAGCAGCCGC